RNAcentral lists this ribosomal RNA (256 nucleotides) under uncultured bacterium. RNAcentral's name for it is "partial 16S ribosomal RNA". It matches the Rfam family "Bacterial small subunit ribosomal RNA", at positions 524 to 776 of the family's 1533-position model. The record is from RNAcentral.
UACGUAGGGCGCAAGCGUUGUCCGGAAUUAUUGGGCGUAAAGAGCUCGUAGGCGGUUUGUCGCGUCUGCUGUGAAAACUCGAGGCUCAACCUCGGGCUUGCAGUGGGUACGGGCAGACUAGAGUGCGGUAGGGGAGACUGGAAUUCCUGGUGUAGCGGUGGAAUGCGCAGAUAUCAGGAGGAACACCGAUGGCGAAGGCAGGUCUCUGGGCCGCAACUGACGCUGGAGGAAGCGGAAAGCAUGGGGAGCGAACAGG